Molecule: long non-coding RNA, 691 nt
Filed under: Ananas comosus (pineapple)
Lineage: Eukaryota; Viridiplantae; Streptophyta; Magnoliopsida; Poales; Bromeliaceae
Description: long non-coding RNA (ACOM_LNC005936)
Source: RNAcentral
AGAAAGUCGGAGAGUGAAAAAUUUGUGAAUUUCGCAAAUUCGAUCGACUUUACCUCCUACCCAACCAAAAUAGAAAAGUUGAUUUUCGUACAAUUAUAAGUAGGAGUUUGGAUGGUCUCGUGACUUCGGUGUCGAAAUAUAUGCCGAUAAUGACGACUUUUUCGGAGUCACGAGUUCAGUCUCUGAGAUCCACUAAAACAAAUAAACCUAAAGUGUUUAGUUUGAAAUCCUGUUACCGCUGCUUUGGCCAUUGAUGAAAUGGAUUUUAGCUACUUAAAUUUUUUCCAAUGACUUGUGCAGCUAUUCUGACUAGUAUAGGGAAGAAUUGUAUUUAUUCAAGAGCAUAUUUUCACCCAAGAAGUGAUUUAUCUUAUCUAAAAAUUGACUUGAAUGCCAAAUAUAAUAAUCUAAUUCGAGACAUAUAAUGAUAUAUACCUCAUGUACCAAUACAAGUUUCCUAAGUAAAUAAUGAAAAUAUACCGAAUAAGUUAUUUAUGCAUCCAAACAUAACCUUAAACUAAUUUUUUCUUUAAUAAAUUUAUAAUUACAUAAAUUACAUAAAAUAUACUAUAUAAAUUUUUAAAGAUAAACGAUAUAUUCAAAAUUUGAAAUUAAAGAGUCAUUAAGUGGCUCAAACCGAAUAAACUAAACGGCGAAUUUUUAAACAUUAGGUAGUCUAAUCCAAAAGAAU